AAAUCCUGGCUACUAUUAUCUUCUUCUUCUUCUUCUUUAUGGCGGGCUCGUUGCUAAGGACGCCUCCGUGCAAAACGUAAACAUCCGACAUGAAUUAAGUAUAUAUUUCAAAAGAAAAAUAAAGAAAAGAUGUAUAAAUGUACAACAGAAACAUAAUAAAUGGCAAACACAAGAAAAUACUGAGUUUUGUGGCAGAUAGAAGCAGCCUCAAAGGCUGUUUUUACUCCGUCACUCGUCAAUGCCCGUAUCUCCCCGCCUGCGUCACGACUUGCUCUGCUGAAAUUACCGCACCAUAACCACGUCAUCUGCCCCAAUGAUCUACGGGCCGGAGAACCAGCGCAGAAAAGGAGUAAGUUUAAUUGGUCGCCAGAUGAAACGGUCUUCUUACAUCAAAUUCAAGAAAAAAUACGUAUAAUCAGAGGGUGUUAUGGGAAGAGUAUCACCCCUGAGGAUAAGAAGAGAGCGUGGACUGAAGUGGCAGAAGCUGUAACAAGUGCCUUCCCUGGGAGUGGACCCCGUACGCAGGAUGACUGUGAGAGGCGUUGGUACAACGUACAACAAAAAUCAAAGCCUUGCAUUGCCAAGUGCAAGAAUGAGCAGCAGCAGACUGAUACACACUUUAUCAGUAUUGCUAGAGACCAUCCCAGCACAUUGUUCAUUACUUGUGGAAAAGAUACCAUUAGCUGCUCCGGCAACAGCCACCGCUUCAAUAUCUGCUGGCCCUAUGACACCAGCCACUGCUUCAUCAUCUGCUGGCCCUAUGACACCAGCCACUGUUUCAUCAUCUGCUGGCCCUAUGACACCAGCCACUGCUUCGUCAUCUGCUGGCCCAAUGACACCUGCCACUGCAAGGGAUGACAAUGAAGCUGCUCCACCAGUCACCACCUACUUCAUCGGAGUUAAGAGAUGCCUUUCAUAGGGCAGCAUAAUUUUUUGAUGCUGGGGCUGAAUAUUACUGCCUCAAGGCUAUGAUUUUUUCACUUUUUUUUUUUUUAUUACUGAGGAGGUUAGGGUGGAAGGGGUGAAAAAUAAUUUGUGCUGUUUUUCGACAGAAAUGAUUAGCAAAUUCAUUCAAAGCACAAAAUUUACCGGGAAAAAAAUUGUGUGCCAUUGUGAGUGGGUUCACUUGAGAUUGGGCUCCAAUACGCCUCCGUGGUCUAGUGGUCAGCAUGCCUGGCUUCUACGCGGGCCCGGGUUCGAAUCCCGGCCUGGGCAGUCGGCGUGCAGCUCACCCAGCUGAUCAUCCUCCCUCUCGGGCUGGUCGAUAAAUGACUACCUGGGGAAACUGUGGUAGCCCGGAUGUCACACUGGCCCUGUGUCCCGGGGUAAUGGGCUCCCUCUCACCACAGGCUCAAGGCCCAAUGUUACGGAGAUGAGCACCGAGGCCACGCGCUGCUAUAGCGUAUGCCCCAACUUUACCUUUACCUUUAUUGGCUCGACUGACAGACAUGGCUUUGUAUGUCGAAGGUCACUGGUUCAAUCUCCACAGCCAGCACUCUCUAACUUGGAUUUUUCCGAGUUCCUAGAGCCUAGA
Molecule: long non-coding RNA, 1534 nt
Organism: Eriocheir sinensis (Chinese mitten crab)
Lineage: Eukaryota; Metazoa; Arthropoda; Malacostraca; Decapoda; Varunidae
Exons: 3
Source: RefSeq, a predicted model, not a curated record